This 305-nucleotide ribosomal RNA is filed under the name uncultured bacterium. RNAcentral describes it as "bacterial SSU rRNA". It matches the Rfam family "Bacterial small subunit ribosomal RNA", at positions 333 to 630 of the family's 1533-position model. The record is from RNAcentral.
UUCGUCCUACGGGGCGCAGCAGUAGGGAAUCUUCCACAAUGGGCGAAAGCCUGAUGGAGCAACGCCGCGUGGGUGAAGAAGGUCUUCGGAUCGUAACACCCUGUUGUUAGAGAGGAAAGUGCGUGAGAGUAACUGUUCACGUUUCGACGGUAUCUAACCAGACAGCCACGGCUAACUACGUGCCAGCAGCCGCGGUAAUACGUAGGUGGCAAGCGUUAUCCGGAUUUAUUGGGCGUAAAGGGAACGCAGGCGGUCUUUUAAGUCUGAUGUGAAAGCCUUCGGCUUAACCGGAGUAGUGCAUUGGG